This 253-nucleotide ribosomal RNA is filed under the name uncultured Lachnospiraceae bacterium. RNAcentral describes it as "partial 16S ribosomal RNA". It matches the Rfam family "Bacterial small subunit ribosomal RNA", at positions 524 to 776 of the family's 1533-position model. Lineage: Bacteria; Bacillati; Bacillota; Clostridia; Lachnospirales; Lachnospiraceae. The record is from RNAcentral.
UACGUAGGGGGCAAGCGUUAUCCGGAUUUACUGGAUGUAAAGGGAGCGUAGACGGCGGUGCAAGCCAGAUGUGAAAGCCCGGGGCUCAACCCCGGGACUGCAUUUGGAACUGUGUGACUGGAGUGCAGGAGAGGUAAGCGGAAUUCCUGGUGUAGCGGUGAAAUGCGUAGAUAUUAGGAGGAACACCAGUGGCGAAGGCGGCUCACUGGACUGUAACUGACGUUGAGGCUCGAAAGCGUGGGGAGCAAACAGG